UGGGUGAGAACACUCCACUUGUCCCUAGGCUAAGUCAUGUAUGUUUCCUAAUGCCUUAACCUGUGUGUUAAAUGUUUGAUUGUAUUUACUAGGUUAAUCACUUCCUCAUUUUGUAUGCUCUCUUAUGUCAUCAAGGAUGUCAUAGGGUUGAUUGGUACCAGGAGCUACUUAAUCAGCUGAGGUGGAGCAGCUGGGAGUAUGGCAGUCUAAGUGUAGUGGUGUGCACGUGCCUAGAGAAGGCUAUGCAAAGACUGGACUGUCUCUCUAAGGAGUGGUUCCAAGACAGAUGUCUGGAGGAUGGAUUCUCCCAUAUGGCUCCUAUUGCCUGGGCGCUCACUCAAGAGGCUAUCAUGAAGUUCUUUCCUUAACUGCUCUGACAUUGAUGCAGUAUGUAUCGGGCCUGUAUUUGUUAAGAGAAGUGAUUUCUUCACCUCCUUUGCUGAGAAGCUGAAAGCUCAGGAAGAGGUCAAGGAUCUACAGAGCGUAACAUUUACUCCAACAGACUGGGCUUCUUGGGUGGUGUAUCAUGGGCCAUACUGGUGGCCAGAACUUGUCAGCACUACCCAAAUUCUCUGGCACCCACCCUGGUCUUUAAAUUUUUCAAGGCCUACUCUAUGUGCAGGCCGGUAUUGAAGGUGGGACCUCUCAGGAAGACGGGCAGGAGCUGGAGCGGUGCCAUCACUAAUAACUCAUCAGGCACAGGCUCUGAAGUGAUGGUGUUGCUGUCGACCCACUGGGACAGAGGAGCAGAGGUGGCAUCAUUCUUAACUGCCCUAGAGUACAAGAACAGGCAGGUCGAAUUGGGGCCAGAAGCAAAAUUCUUGUAUGAGGCCCUCCCCAAAUCCACCCAUGGCGCAAACAGUAAUCACAUCCUGCCAAACCUUCACACAGUGUUUAUUCAUAAUUGCACUUUCUAUUGUCUACAAAUAAAACUAUAAACAUUGAGAUGGUGUGAGUAUAUUAUGUUGUAAUAUUUGAGUAGGUCGGGGUUGAUUUGAGGAAUGUCAUCACCUCUGAUGGAAAAUGUGAAAAAUGUAUCCUUCUUUAUAAUUAAAGCAUCAAAAAUAAAAAAAACUUGA
Molecule: long non-coding RNA, 1079 nt
Organism: Monopterus albus (swamp eel)
Lineage: Eukaryota; Metazoa; Chordata; Actinopteri; Synbranchiformes; Synbranchidae
Exons: 5
Source: RefSeq, a predicted model, not a curated record